UUGGAGGGCAAGUCUGGUGCCAGCAGCCGCGGUAAUUCCAGCUCCAAUAGCGUAUAUUAAAGUUGUUGCAGUUAAAAAGCUCGUAGUUGAAUUUCGGGAUCAGCAGGUUGGUCGUGCCUCUGGUAUGCACUGGUUUCGCUGAUUCCUCCUUUCUGAAGAACUGUAAUGUCAUUAAUUUGGUGUUGCAGGGAAACAGGACUGUUACUUUGAAAAAAUUAGAGUGUUUAAAGCAAGCUAACGCUUGAAUACAUUAGCAUGGAAUAAUGAAAUAGGACGUUUGAUCCUAUUUCGUUGGUUUCUAGGAUUGACGUAAUGAUUAAUAGGGAUAGUUGGGGGCAUUAGUAUUCAAUUGUCAGAGGUGAAAUUCUUGGAUUUAUUGAAGACUAACUACUGCGAAAGCAUUUGCCAAGGAUGUUUUCAUUAAUCAAGAACGAAAGUUAGGGGAUCGAAGACGAUCAGAUACCGUCGUAGUCUUAACCAUAAACUAUGCCGACUAGGGAUCGGAUGAUGUUAAUUUUUUAAUGACUCAUUCGGCGCCUUACGGGAAAC
RNAcentral lists this ribosomal RNA (549 nucleotides) under uncultured Glomeromycotina. RNAcentral describes it as "SSU rRNA". It matches the Rfam family "Eukaryotic small subunit ribosomal RNA", at positions 548 to 1098 of the family's 1831-position model. The record is from RNAcentral. Lineage: Eukaryota; Fungi; Glomeromycota.